GGAGGGAUGGUUAAUGAGAAUUGAAGUUUCAUUUAAAUUUUCUUUUCAAAAAUCUUUUCUUUCCGUGAAGAUGAAAGUGAAGAGUUUCCAGACAAGCUUAGCUGGAGUGCAUUCCACUUCUCUGAAGUUUAAGAAUGGCAAAGAAAAUAGUGAGACAGACAAAAGGAAUGCAGAAAUGGUACCACAAAGACAAAUGCUCCUAGAAGCCAAACAGAACAGGCAAGGAAGAGGAAUUCAGACUCUUGGGGGGUCUUCUUGCUUCACUACAUGCCAAUCACCAAUUGCUUGAACUUCAUGGAGAAUUAGAAAGGUUUCUUCAUCCCAAUCAAUUCUGUGUCAUCAAUAAAUACGGUUAUAUUGAUAAAUAAGGUUAACCUGAAAGUCUAACAUUUUCUUUAAAUAUAUUU
This 407-nucleotide long non-coding RNA is filed under the name Macaca mulatta (Rhesus monkey). Its description in RNAcentral is "lncRNA (ENSMMUG00000050560.1)". The record is from RNAcentral. Lineage: Eukaryota; Metazoa; Chordata; Mammalia; Primates; Cercopithecidae.